Molecule: ribosomal RNA, 460 nt
Filed under: uncultured bacterium
Lineage: Bacteria
Description: partial 16S ribosomal RNA
Rfam family: Bacterial small subunit ribosomal RNA
Source: RNAcentral
CCUACGGGGUGCAGCAGUGAGGAAUAUUGGUCAAUGGACGAGAGUCUGAACCAGCCAAGUAGCGUGAAGGAUGACUGCCCUAUGGGUUGUAAACUUCUUUUAUAAAGGAAUAAAACGAGGCACGUGUGCCUUUUUGCAUGUACUUUAUGAAUAAGGAUCGGCUAACUCCGUGCCAGCAGCCGCGGUAAUACGGAGGAUCCGAGCGUUAUCCGGAUUUAUUGGGUUUAAAGGGAGCGUAGAUGGGUUGUUAAGUCAGUUGUGAAAGUUUGCGGCUCAACCGUAAAAUUGCAAUUGAUACUGGCAGUCUUGAGUACAGUUGAGGUAGGCGGAAUUCGUGGUGUAGCGGUGAAAUGCUUAGAUAUCACGAAGAACCCCGAUUGCGAAGGCAGCUUACUAAACUGUGACUGACAUUGAUGCUCGAAAGUGUGGGUAUCGAACAGGAUUAGAUACCCGGGUAGUC